UAAUACAUGCAAGUCGAGCGAAUGGAUUAAGAGCUUGCUCUUAUGAAGUUAGCGGCGGACGGGUGAGUAACACGUGGGUAACCUGCCCAUAAGACUGGGAUAACUCCGGGAAACCGGGGCUAAUACCGGAUAACAUUUUGAACCGCAUGGUUCGAAAUUGAAAGGCGGCUUCGGCUGUCACUUAUGGAUGGACCCGCGUCGCAUUAGCUAGUUGGUGAGGUAACGGCUCACCAAGGCAACGAUGCGUAGCCGACCUGAGAGGGUGAUCGGCCACACUGGGACUGAGACACGGCCCAGACUCCUACGGGAGGCAGCAGUAGGGAAUCUUCCGCAAUGGACGAAAGUCUGACGGAGCAACGCCGCGUGAGUGAUGAAGGCUUUCGGGUCGUAAAACUCUGUUGUUAGGGAAGAACAAGUGCUAGUUGAAUAAGCUGGCACCUUGACGGUACCUAACCAGAAAGCCACGGCUAACUACGUGCCAGCAGCCGCGGUAAUACGUAGGUGGCAAGCGUUAUCCGGAAUUAUUGGGCGUAAAGCGCGCGCAGGUGGUUUCUUAAGUCUGAUGUGAAAGCCCACGGCUCAACCGUGGAGGGUCAUUGGAAACUGGGAGACUUGAGUGCAGAAGAGGAAAGUGGAAUUCCAUGUGUAGCGGUGAAAUGCGUAGAGAUAUGGAGGAACACCAGUGGCGAAGGCGACUUUCUGGUCUGUAACUGACACUGAGGCGC
RNAcentral lists this ribosomal RNA (725 nucleotides) under Bacillus cereus. RNAcentral describes it as "bacterial SSU rRNA". It matches the Rfam family "Bacterial small subunit ribosomal RNA", at positions 49 to 754 of the family's 1533-position model. Lineage: Bacteria; Bacillati; Bacillota; Bacilli; Caryophanales; Bacillaceae. The record is from RNAcentral.